CCUACGGGCGGCUGCAGUGGGGAAUAUUGCACAAUGGGCGCAAGCCUGAUGCAGCCAUGCCGCGUGUGUGAAGAAGGCCUUCGGGUUGUAAAGCACUUUCAGCGGGGAGGAAGGCGUUAAGGUUAAUAACCUUGGCGAUUGACGUUACCCGCAGAAGAAGCACCGGCUAACUCCGUGCCAGCAACCGCGGUAAUACGGAGGGUGCAAGCGUUAAUCGGAAUUACUGGGCGUAAAGCGCACGCAGGCGGUCUGUCAAGUCGGAUGUGAAAUCCCCGGGCUCAACCUGGGAACUGCAUUCGAAACUGGCAGGCUAGAGUCUUGUAGAGGGGGGUAGAAUUCCAGGUGUAGCGGUGAAAUGCGUAGAGAUCUGGAGGAAUACCGGUGGCGAAGGCGGCCCCCUGGACAAAGACUGACGCUCAGGUGCGAAAGCGUGGGGAGCAAACAGGAUUAGAUACCCCGGUAGUC
RNAcentral lists this ribosomal RNA (465 nucleotides) under uncultured Klebsiella sp. Its description in RNAcentral is "bacterial SSU rRNA". It matches the Rfam family "Bacterial small subunit ribosomal RNA", at positions 338 to 795 of the family's 1533-position model. Lineage: Bacteria; Pseudomonadati; Pseudomonadota; Gammaproteobacteria; Enterobacterales; Enterobacteriaceae. The record is from RNAcentral.